Cuculus canorus (common cuckoo) is the source of this 711-nucleotide long non-coding RNA. RefSeq lists it as uncharacterized. The record is from RefSeq and is a predicted model, not a curated record. The transcript is spliced from 3 exons. Lineage: Eukaryota; Metazoa; Chordata; Aves; Cuculiformes; Cuculidae.
AGUUCAUUAACCUGUUUGAUAUUACAGUUUUAUUCUCCCAAAGGACAAGAGGAACAGCAGGUCACAAGUGCCCAGAACCAGCAGACCUGGCCUCAAUGUGACGCAGGAGUUUCCAGCACCUUUUUAGUUCACAGAGACAUCUCAACCUUCAGUGCAUAUUCCAACAUUCCUCCAAAACUUUGUAGAUUGACCACCACUGGUGCCACAGAGAAGCCCAACCAGCUGACUGGAUCUGGCAGGAAGACAAUGAAUUAAUCCAUUUUACGAUGACUUUCAAAGUUUCAAAAUGUGUUUUGGAUCUGCCUUGGAGUGAAAACAAAACCUUCUGAACUCUUUCAUACAAUGAAAUCAUGUCAAGACCAUUUUUGCCUGGGAAGGCUCUGAGGUUGCCUCCAUGGUGCAGACUAUGAAGACAGCCUCGUUAUUGCCCCUGGAGGCCAGGUGGCUGCUUAUUGCUCUGAAAAUGGCAGCUCAGCGACAUCUAAAAACAUAACGAUGUUUUCAGAUCCAGGCAUACAAGAUAGUUCCUACUCUGGAUAUUUUCUUCUAGGUAGGAUAUCUACUGUGACUUGUGAAUCCUUGGGAAUAACUCAGUUCCUCAUGAUGGUGUAAGGUCACAGUGAUCUUGGGUUUCUGUGACAACAAACCAGCCGUGGGCAAAGUGGACUGGGAUCUCAGUUCCCAGCCUAACCUUUCACUUUUACAGAUACC